UACGUAGGGCGCAAGCGUUGUCCGGAAUUAUUGGGCGUAAAGAGCUCGUAGGCGGUCUGUCGCGUCCGUUGUGAAAACUCGAGGCUCAACCUCGGGCUUGCAGUGGAUACGGGCAGACUAGAGUGCGGUAGGGGAGACUGGAAUUCCUGGUGUAGCGGUGGAAUGCGCAGAUAUCAGGAGGAACACCGGUGGCGAAGGCGGGAUCCUGGGCCAGUACUGACGCUGAGGAGCGAAAGCUAGGGGAGCGAACAGG
Molecule: ribosomal RNA, 253 nt
Filed under: uncultured bacterium
Lineage: Bacteria
Description: partial 16S ribosomal RNA
Rfam family: Bacterial small subunit ribosomal RNA
Source: RNAcentral